AACCUACUCCCUCCGUCUCAAAAUUCUUGUCUUAGAUUUGUCUAAAUACGGAUGUAUCUAACAUUAAAACAUAACUAGUUACAUUCGUAUUUAGACAAAUUUAAGACAAAAUUUUAGGACGGAGGGAGUACUUG
This is a non-coding RNA of Triticum aestivum (bread wheat), 134 nucleotides long. The record is from Rfam. NCBI's taxonomy places the organism in Eukaryota, Viridiplantae, Streptophyta, Magnoliopsida, Poales, Poaceae.